This 199-nucleotide long non-coding RNA is filed under the name Ananas comosus (pineapple). RNAcentral describes it as "long non-coding RNA (ACOM_LNC002582)". The record is from RNAcentral. Lineage: Eukaryota; Viridiplantae; Streptophyta; Magnoliopsida; Poales; Bromeliaceae.
CCAAAAAUCUAUCUCUUUUUUUUAAAAAAAAUACAAAUUUAUUUAUUUAUUUAAAAAUUGAAUAUUUACUUUAGUAUAAUUAUUUUUAUAUGUUUUUUAUAUUUUAAUCAAAAUAUUAAUUUAAAUAAAAAUAUUUAUUGUUUAUAUUUUUAAAUUUCAUAUUAUUUUUUUUAAAAAAAUUAAAAAAUAAAUAUUUUUC